Molecule: unclassified non-coding RNA, 20 nt
Filed under: Chlamydomonas reinhardtii
Lineage: Eukaryota; Viridiplantae; Chlorophyta; Chlorophyceae; Chlamydomonadales; Chlamydomonadaceae
Description: small RNA Cre_2113
Source: RNAcentral
UAAACAACUCAUCAAGUUGU